CUUUAUGAUGAAUAAGGGCCAAAGGCCUGAUUCAAACCCAGCUCUUCGAAUGCCUCAAUAUACAACGCAGAGGACAUACUGAGAUAAGAAACACAAUCUGAUUGC
RNAcentral lists this small nucleolar RNA (105 nucleotides) under Pestalotiopsis fici W106-1. RNAcentral describes it as "A. fumigatus snoRNA Afu_304". It matches the Rfam family "A. fumigatus snoRNA Afu_304". The record is from Rfam by way of RNAcentral. Lineage: Eukaryota; Fungi; Ascomycota; Sordariomycetes; Amphisphaeriales; Sporocadaceae.